This 367-nucleotide ribosomal RNA is filed under the name uncultured organism. Its description in RNAcentral is "bacterial SSU rRNA". It matches the Rfam family "Bacterial small subunit ribosomal RNA", at positions 526 to 896 of the family's 1533-position model. The record is from RNAcentral.
CGGAGGAUCCAAGCGUUGUCCGGAUUUAUUGGGUUUAAAGGGUGCGUAGGCGGAUCUUUAAGUCAGUGGUGAAAGCCUGCAGCUUAACUGUAGAACAGCCAUUGAAACUGAAGAUCUUGAAUGUGGUUAAAGUAGGCGGAAUGUAUCAUGUAGCGGUGAAAUGCUUAGAUAUGAUACAGAACACCGAUAGCGAAGGCAGCUUGCUGAACCAUUAUUGACGCUGAGGCACGAAAGCGUGGGGAGCGAACAGGAUUAGAUACCCUGGUAGUCCACGCCCUAAACGUUGAUUACUCGUUGUUGGCGAUAUACUGUCAGCGACCAAGCUAAAGCGUUAAGUAAUCCACCUGGGAAUACGACCGCAAGGUUG